Molecule: long non-coding RNA, 425 nt
Organism: Equus quagga
Lineage: Eukaryota; Metazoa; Chordata; Mammalia; Perissodactyla; Equidae
Exons: 3
Source: RefSeq, a predicted model, not a curated record
CUCCCCCAAAAUAGACACAGAGGUCAGACACUGUCGUCGUGGAGCUCAGAGGUCAGUGGGGAAGAUGGAGUAUGAAUAAAGUGUUACAAUGCAACGUGUCCAGCUUCUGCAGGAGGAAGUACAGAAGCUCCAAGAUUAGGCCACACAGGGUUGAAACCUGCUUCUGCCGCUGACUGGCUGUCUGUCCUUCAUCAGGUCAUUUAACCUCUAAAUGUUGCCAACACCGUUCUACGUGAAUGAAGGUGUCUGGAGUGCUUGCACCCAGAGAAGGUUGUGAGAUCGUUGUCAUCACCCAGACGUGGUAGCAGACACCUGCACUCGCACUCAGAUGAAUCUGGGGCUGGCCUGGGACCUCGACGCAGACAUCUGGUUGCAGCCGAAAGACAUCGUCCCUCACCUUAAAUUAAGGACGUUAACGUGAAAUU